RNAcentral lists this ribosomal RNA (468 nucleotides) under uncultured bacterium. RNAcentral describes it as "partial 16S ribosomal RNA". It matches the Rfam family "Bacterial small subunit ribosomal RNA", at positions 28 to 507 of the family's 1533-position model. The record is from RNAcentral.
GACGAACGCUGGCGGCGUGCUUAACACAUGCAAGUCGAACGGAAAGGCCCUGCUUUUGUGGGGUGCUCGAGUGGCGAACGGGUGAGUAACACGGGAGUAACCUGCCCUUGACUUUGGGAUAACUUCAGGAAACUGGGGCUAAUACCGGAUAGGAGCUCCUGCUGCAGGGUGGGGGUUGGAAAGUUUCGGCGGUUGGGGAUGGACGCGGGGCUUAUCAGCUUGUUGGUGGGGUAGUGGCUUACCAAGGCUUUGACGGGUAGCCGGCAUGAGAGGGUGACCGGCCACAUGGGGACUGCGAUACGGCCCAGACUCCUACGGGAGGCAGCAGUGGGGAAUAUUGCACAAUGGGCGGAAGCCUGAUGCAGCAACGCCGCGUGCGGGAUGACGGUCUUCGGGUUGUAAACCGCAUUAGCCUGUGACGAAGCGUGAGUGACGGUAAUGGGUAAAGAAGCACCGGCUAACUACGUG